Paramuricea clavata is the source of this 512-nucleotide non-coding RNA. The record is from the annotation of a GenBank genome assembly. Lineage: Eukaryota; Metazoa; Cnidaria; Anthozoa; Malacalcyonacea; Plexauridae.
AUGAAAUUUGAUUGGCUCUACAACGAUUUGCUUCGCGAAUUUUUGUGAAAAAUGUUCCGUGUUGCAUCGCAUUAACGAAGUGUUUAUCCGCGUUUAACGUCAUUAUGACGAGGCAACUUACGAUAUUCGAUAUGACACUGGGGCAACUUACGAUAUUCGAUCAGCUGAUUUGCUUGAAAAUGCACCAUAUAUCAAUCUUUAUGUAUAAAAUUCGACCAAUGCAUCUUAUUCAUCGUAUUCUAAAGCUUUAUCGUCGCAACAAAAACAAUUCAAUAUCCUUUGGCUUCAAUGUGCCAAGCAUUUUCGACCUCAAACACAUGGACCAUGGUGAUUUCCUCGUCAGACGAUUCACUCUGUUCUUCAGAGUCGCUCUCGUCACCACUAUUGCUUGUUUGUAAGCCCGGUUUAGGUUCAAAUUGAUAGGGUAAUACCUUAUCUACUUGAUAUCGAGGAUAUUUUCCAUCCGAGUAAUCAGAAAGCGCCACAUUUCUCACUAGAAGUACGAAGUCGCA